Nilaparvata lugens (brown planthopper) is the source of this 685-nucleotide long non-coding RNA. RefSeq lists it as uncharacterized. The transcript has 3 exons. Lineage: Eukaryota; Metazoa; Arthropoda; Insecta; Hemiptera; Delphacidae. The record is from RefSeq and is a predicted model, not a curated record.
AACCAGCUCUAACGCCAACCACCAACCGACAUGUGAGCCAAUCUCAACCAACCAAUAAGAGCGCAUCUCAGCCCGGCUGGAUUGGCUCCUCCUAUCAGAAUCACACGCCUUCCGAACAAUCAACGGCCACCGCUAAUAAAGGGCCUACAGUAACCAAGUCACCGGUGGUGGAACUGCUCGCUUCGGACCAGACCAACAAACUGGAACGCUUGGUCAGCAAUUUUGUGAGCGAGGACAGAGCGCGCCAAGCGGCCAACUCUCAACUAAAACGCUGCCCAGUUCCAUUCAGUUUGCGUUGCAGAAGUUCGAGCGUAAAGCAGCAGCUGGAGGUAAUACCGCAGGCCUACAACUGAAUCGGUCAACAGGCAACGGAGCAAACCGACCAACGCCCGUUGCAAAGCAACAGUUGCACAACCUUGCAACGCAACAGCAACCGUUGCACGGAUUUGCAACGCAACAGCAGCAGAAGUACAGCGGUGGUGAUACGGUGGAAGUGAUCUAUCCGAGUGAGGAGAAAACGUCGCCUGGUGUCGUCACUAACACUUGGCCGUUGAAGAACAAGAUCCAAGAUGGCGGAAAGCGGAAUAGUGGGGGGUAUGCUGGUGGUGGGGGAAGGGUGGAAUCUGGGCCGAGGUCACCCUCCAGUCACAGGCAUAGUAGUCAGGCUGAGUUUUUGGAUGAGGUU